UGGGCACACCCAGAGUUCAGGAGUCCAGC
This 29-nucleotide non-coding RNA is filed under the name Mus musculus (house mouse). Lineage: Eukaryota; Metazoa; Chordata; Mammalia; Rodentia; Muridae. The record is from RNAcentral.